CUACGGGCGGCUGCAGUGAGGAAUUUUGCGCAAUGGGGGAAACCCUGACGCAGCAACGCCGCGUGAGUGAUGAAGGCUUUCGGGUCGUAAAGCUCUAUCAAGUGGGAAGAACAAACCUGAUGCUAAUACCAGCAGGGACUGACGGUACCACUGAAGGAAGCACCGGCUAACUCCGUGCCAGCAGCCGCGGUAAUACGGGGGGUGCAAGCGUUAUUCGGAAUCAUUGGGCGUAAAGAGCGCGUAGGCGGCCCUUUAAGUCAGAUGUGAAAUCCCGGGGCUCAACCCCGGAAGUGCAUUUGAAACUAUUGGGCUUGAGUAUGGGAGAGGGAAGUGGAAUUCCUGGUGUAGAGGUGAAAUUCGUAGAUAUCAGGAGGAACAUCGGUGGCGAAGGCGACUUCCUGGACCAAUACUGACGCUGAGGCGCGAAGGCGUGGGGAGCAAACAGGAUUAGAUACCCCCGUAGUC
Molecule: ribosomal RNA, 465 nt
Filed under: uncultured bacterium
Lineage: Bacteria
Description: partial 16S ribosomal RNA
Rfam family: Bacterial small subunit ribosomal RNA
Source: RNAcentral